RNAcentral lists this ribosomal RNA (442 nucleotides) under uncultured bacterium. Its description in RNAcentral is "bacterial SSU rRNA". It matches the Rfam family "Bacterial small subunit ribosomal RNA", at positions 340 to 773 of the family's 1533-position model. The record is from RNAcentral.
UACGGAAGGCAGCAGUGGGGAAUAUUGCACAAUGGGCGCAAGCCUGAUGCAGCCAUGCCGCGUGUAUGAAGAAGGCCUUCGGGUUGUAAAGUACUUUCAGUCGUGAGGAAGGUGUUAAGGUUAAUAACCUUAGCAAUUGACGUUAGCGACAGAAGAAGCACCGGCUAACUCCGUGCCAGCAGCCGCGGUAAUACGGAGGGUGCGAGCGUUAAUCGGAAUUACUGGGCGUAAAGGGCACGCAGGCGGUUAAUUAAGUUGGAUGUGAAAUCCCCGGGGCUUAACCUGGGAAUGGCAUUCAAGACUGGUUAGCUAGAGUCUUGUAGAGGGGGUUAGAAUUCCAUGUGUAGCGGUGAAACUGCGUAGAGAUGUGGAGGAAUACCGGUGGCGAAGGCGGCCCCUGGACAAAGACCUGACGCUCAUGUGCGAAAGCUGGGGAGCAAAC